This 242-nucleotide long non-coding RNA is filed under the name Gossypium barbadense (sea-island cotton). RNAcentral describes it as "long non-coding RNA (GBAR_LNC022851)". The record is from RNAcentral. Lineage: Eukaryota; Viridiplantae; Streptophyta; Magnoliopsida; Malvales; Malvaceae.
AGGUAACCAUGAAGCAGACUAGCAGCAGCAGACCAACAUUCGAGUAGGACCAGAAGCUGCUUGUUUGAUUUUGUUUAUUUUGAUACUUUUGUAAAGUUAUCAAGUUGAUAUGUAACUUCAUUUCUAGAGUUAGUAGGAUUUGAAUAUGGUGCAUGUAAUAGCUAAUUUAUUUCAGCUUUUAACUUGUAUUAUUUUAGUUGGCAACUUGCCAAAUUGGUGGGAGGAGUUACAAGUUUAGGUAA